Molecule: ribosomal RNA, 518 nt
Filed under: uncultured microorganism
Description: bacterial SSU rRNA
Rfam family: Bacterial small subunit ribosomal RNA
Source: RNAcentral
GAGUUUGAUCAUGGCUCAGAUUGAACGCUGGCGGUAUGCUUAACACACGCAAGUCGAACGGUAACAGGCUAGCUUGCUAGCGCUGACGAGUGGCGGACGGGUGCGUAACGCGUAGGAAUCUGCCUAUUAGUGGGGGACAACCUGGUGAAAACCAGGCUAAUACCGCAUACGCCCUACGGGGAAAGGCAGGGGAGUCUUCGGACCUUGCGCUAAUAGAUGAGCCUGCGUUAGAUUAGCUUGUUGGUGAGGUAAUGGCUCACCAAGGCGACGAUCUAUAGCUGGUCUGAGAGGACGAUCAGCCACACUGGGACUGAGACACGGCCCAGACUCCUACGGGAGACAGCAGUGGGGAAUAUUGGACAAUGGGCGGAAGCCUGAUCCAACAAUACCGCGUGUGUGAAGAAGGCCUGAGGGUUGUAAAGCACUUUCAAUUGGGAGGAAACAGGCAGGUUAAUAUCCUGUCUCUUGACAUUACCUUUUAGAAGAAGCACCGGCGUAACUCCGUGCCAGCCGCCCGG